This 841-nucleotide ribosomal RNA is filed under the name uncultured Thiothrix sp. Its description in RNAcentral is "bacterial SSU rRNA". It matches the Rfam family "Bacterial small subunit ribosomal RNA", at positions 120 to 992 of the family's 1533-position model. The record is from RNAcentral. Lineage: Bacteria; Pseudomonadati; Pseudomonadota; Gammaproteobacteria; Thiotrichales; Thiotrichaceae.
GGGAAUCUGCCUAUUAGUGGGGGACAGCCCAGCGAAAGCUGGAUUAAUACCGCAUACGCCCUACGGGGGAAAGCAGCAAUGCGCUAAUAGAUGAGCCCGCGUAAGAUUAGCUAGUUGGUAUGGUAAAGGCUUACCAAGGCGACGAUCUUUAGCUGGUCUGAGAGGAUGGCCAGCCACAUCGGGACCGAGACACGGCCCGGACUCCUACGGGAGGCAGCGGUCGGGAAUAUUGGACAAUGGGCGCAAGCCUGAUCCAGCAAUACCGCGUGUGUGAAGAAGGCUUGCGGGUUGUAAAGCACUUUCAGUUGGGAAGAUAAUGACGUUACCAACAGAAGAAGCACCGGCUAACUCCGUGCCAGCAGCCGCGGUAAUACGGAGGGUGCAAGCGUUAAUCGGAAUUACUGGGCGUAAAGCGUGCGUAGGCGGCCUGUUAAGUCAGAUGUGAAAGCCCCGGGCUUAACCUGGGAACUGCAUCUGAUACUGGGAGGCUAGAAUGUGGGAGAGGAGAGUGGAAUUUCCGGUGUAGCGGUGAAAUGCAUAGAGAUCGGAAGGAACACCAGUGGCGAAGGCGGCUCUCUGGACCAACAUUGACGCUGAGGCACGAAAGCGUGGGUAGCAAACAGGAUUAGAUACCCUGGUAGUCCACGCCGUAAACGAUGUCAACUAGCCGCCGGCCUCACUCUAGAGGUCGGUGGUGCAGCUAACGCAUUAAGUUGACCGCCUGGGGAGUACGGCCGCAAGGUUGAAACUCAAAGGAAUUGACGGGGGCCCGCACAAGCGGUGGAGCAUGUGGUUUAAUUCGAUGCAACGCGAAGAACCUUACCUGGUCUUGACAUGUAGU